RNAcentral lists this ribosomal RNA (1221 nucleotides) under Triticum aestivum (bread wheat). RNAcentral's name for it is "partial small subunit ribosomal RNA". Lineage: Eukaryota; Viridiplantae; Streptophyta; Magnoliopsida; Poales; Poaceae. The record is from RNAcentral.
AUGGCCGGAGGCGACGCGUCAUCGGGGGCUGCGCCGGGGCCGGAGACGGCGAGGGAGGCGGAGGUGGACGCGGGGGGCUUCGAGUUCGCCUUCGACAACGAGGCCUUCUCCGACAGGGUCCUGCGGAUAGAGGUCGUCGGCGCUGGCCGGAAGCGCCGCCGUGAAGGUGAUGAUGGAGAAGGUAGUACACCAGUUUUACGAGUCAAGACCAUACAUAUCAGUUCGGUGAUUCUCGCCGCAAAAAGUUCUUUCUUUUUCAAGCUUUUCUCAAAUGGCAUGAAAGAAUCUGGUCAGAGACAGUCAACAGUUAGAAUUGCUGAUUCAGAGGAAAAUGCCUUUAUGGAGCUUUUAUGGUUUAUGUACAAUGGAAGGUUGACACCAACAACUGACUCCACUCUUCUGGUUGAUAUCUUGAUGGCUGCUGACAAAUUUGAUGUCGUUUCAUGCACCAAGCUUUGCGGUCAGCGGCUCAUAGGCCUGCCUAUGACCCUAGAAUCCGCACUGAGGUGCCUAGAUCUCCCAUGUUCCAUUUCAAUGGCAGCUGACCUGUCAGAGGCAGCCAAGAAAUUCCUUGCUAAAAGAUAUGAAAAAUUCCUGUCAACAAAGUUCCAAGAUGAACUGAUGAGAAUUCCUCUCUCUGGGAUUGUGGCCAUCUUAUCAAGGAAUCUCCCCGGGGUUGCAUCCGAAAAAUCCGUUUAUGACUUUGUGCUCAGGUGGGCCGACUUGCAGUACCCAAAUUCAGAAGAAAGACGCAAGAUUUUAAGUUCAAGUUUACUUCCAAUGGUGCCACUAGCGCGUAGCAUGACCAAUGUGAUCCUAAUUGAUCAGCCGUCUUGUAUAAUUAACUUUAGUCUAAAGCGUGAGCACUGCUCUGGGAGCUUCUCAUCAGGAUCGAUGCGCUCGCCACCAUUCUAUUGUGCGGGGCAUGGUUUCUUUCUCUCAGCACACCGUAGAAUGGGGCCGUCCAACUCUUUUGUCCUCAUAAUACAGAAGCUAGAAGACAAGGGCCUAGUAAGGGGGACAUUAGAUUAUGAGAUUGAUGUAAAAACAACACCGUCGCUGGAGUUUACCACCUUGUGGAGGCGCACCACCACCACCGGUUGUAGGCAAGGUUUUGGAUGCAGGCUUCCUUGGCCGGAGGUCAUUCCUGACGAUAGCCCCUUCUUUGUCGAUGACAAACUCCAUAUUCGAGUUCAUGUGAAGAUAACGCUGCAGCCGUAG